RNAcentral lists this long non-coding RNA (6015 nucleotides) under Sus scrofa (pig). RNAcentral describes it as "lncRNA (ENSSSCG00005035302.1)". The stretch from base 4345 to 4428 matches the Rfam family "Deleted in lymphocytic leukemia 2 conserved region 5". The record is from RNAcentral. Lineage: Eukaryota; Metazoa; Chordata; Mammalia; Artiodactyla; Suidae.
CCAAAGUGAAAGAAACACGCCUAUGUGUAAAAAGCAUGAAACAUAUAUAUACUUUUGGAAGCAAGAUAGUUUUCCAUUCAAACAUGGAAUUAACUAUAUAAAAAUUAAAUGAACUAAAAACCACACAGUAAAUAGUAAAAAAUAAUAAGAAACUAAGAAUUAAAAGUAUCUACUGUUCUCUUUUAGCUGCUUUGGGACGAAAAUACCUUUUUGUCAAAGAACGUAUUCAUUAUACUAUAUAUGUAUUACACUGACAGUUGGGCCAUUUCCACCUGGUCUAUAAAAGCUAGUGGGUGCAGGCUGCUUUGGCCACCACUACAGCAUAUUGAUGCUAUUUUGAACAACAGCUGACAAGCAGCAGCAAUCUCCCAACCCCUGUUCCCAAAAGUAAGAAGCAAGAACAAGGGCUCUGAUGAUACUUGUUUAUUCACUGUUGCUGCUACUGAAGCAGCAAGCUGAGAAAAUCACAUGCAACUAACACACAAAGGAAAAAAGUGGUUGAGUUCAACCUCCCUACCCAGAAGUUCUGCUUGUAUCACUACAUGAUAAAAUUAUUUAAGGAUUUUUUUCUUUAAAAAGUGAGGUGGAGAGAGAAGAAAAGACAAAAUUGGUGUUUUGAUUAGAAAGGGAACCUAUAAUGUAUCUAAGUUAAAUAAUUAAUGACACAUGUAAUGACACACUUCAGCUCCUAGUUUAGAUUUAACUGUUCAAUUAUCAAAAUUCUCAGAAGAAUUUUAACCAGGUUUAGGGUGAAUUCAUAAAAAGUAUGUUCCCUAGCUAUACUGGAAAAUAUCUAAGUAUCUAAACUUUAAUCAAGCAACAAAACUAUAUUAUGCUUAUAAAAAGCUCCAGUCUCCCAGCUUCAACAUAUCUAAUCACAUCACAAGUUUGACAUCAGACAUUAUUAGCAAAUAAAUACGAUUUUAGCCCAUAAAGCUUUUACAAAAAUUUCAAUUAUUAAAAAAAAUUUCCACAAGUAAUUUACCUACUUUGAAUGUGUAACACAAAGCUAAAAACUUAGUAAGUACCUAAUAUCAAUUGACCACUAACAGAAAUGUAAGUAUUUGUUCAUCAAAUUAUCUUUAAACUUAAAGGUAAUUUCAUCUAUGGACUUAUAACUUUAAAUUUAAAAGAUAUUCUUAAACACCUUAAGCAAUUUUUGAUUCUGAAAAAUAAUUUAUAAGUCAGAAAAAUUAGGACAUCUGUAAAUUACUUUUUUAAAUGCUAGAACUGGUGGCUAAGUUUAAAUAACAGCUAGUCAAGAAGGUUAGGUUUGAAAUUAAAUAAAAGUAUAAAAUACAAUAAUAUUAAAUAAAUAAAAUUCAGAUAUUUUGCUAAAAACCCCCAAUCUUUAAUUUUUAUCAAAAUUGAAAAACCGUUUUCUACUCAGCAAUAGCUCAAUAAUGAACCAACAAUGUUAUAAUAAAAAUUAAAAAGACAAUUCUGAAGAACACAGGAUAACAAUAUUACUAAAUAUAUUUGUUUACUAUGAAAGUUAUACAAUAAAAGAGUAAGAGCAAAAUCAAAAAAGGAUUUAAAAAAAAUUAAGAAACUUAGAAACAGUAACAAAUAAACUAUUAACCAGAGGAUGAGCCUCAGCAACUACAUCUGAAACAUGCUACAUGUUUCUCUUCCAAGUGACUCAAACCAUGAAAAUAGGAAAGUAAAACUAAGCCAAAUCAUAUAUGUUAAUGAAAUAACAAAAGUGGGGGUUUGUGGUGCUGAGAACUGAUAUUUUACUUCAAAAUGACAUUAAAUGAAAAAUUGAAUCUUCACAUUAAUUAAAUAUUGCCCUUUGAAAAUCCUUAUCAGAAAAUUUAAGUCUGAUGUGUUAGGUCUUAUUUGAAGAAACUGAAAAAGAUUAAUGAUCUAUUCACUAAUCAAAAAAACCCAUAAAGUACAUGUACAAAACUGCUUCAAACAUUUAAAGCUUCUUCAUUAAGAAACUGUAUCUAUCUACUCUUCAAUGAAUCCUCAGCAACACUAUAAAACCUCUAAUAAAGAAAACUCUUAUAGCUGAUAAACUGUUUAAAAUAUAAGUUGUCUUUAUAAACUAGCAUUAUUCAUCAGUGACAAUGAAUAAUUUCAAGUCCCUUCAUACGUAGAUGUGUUAAAUUACCUCUAUUCUAGUUUAUCCAAAUAUUCUUUCCCCCUAAGGAUAACUAUUUCAGUAAAACUAGAACACAGACAGCAUAACUGUAUUUGGGAAACAACAGAGAAUUUUCCUGAAAAUGAAUGCUAUUUAACCCUGAAAAUGCAUUUAACCAAAAAUAUAAAUAUUAUACAAAUAAGAUAAAAAUCUAGCACUGAAAAAAAUAUAACACAGUAAGUGCUUUCCCCCAAAUCCUGUCAUAAUGAACUACAUAUUAAAACUUAGUUAGACACAGAUAAACAGGUUUGUAAAUUUAAAACAGCCAAAAUCCUUACAAAAUGUCCUUUAUGGGGUAAGUUAAGGAACAGUCAAUCACAUAAUAGCAGUAAAAGCCCUUAUUAACCUGUCUUCUAAAAUAACAUACACUACUAAUUAGGUUAAAGUUUUUCACUCUGUAAGAGCUGACCAAUAGAAGAAAACUGUUAAUAUCGGCAUCAAUUAUUUUAGGUGUUAAAUUAUUCACUAAAAAUUUGGAAGUUUAUAAGCUAUAUAAGGGACAAUUUUAUGAUGCUAAAUAUUUGUGUCCAAACAACAUUUUGACAACUUCAGAGAUCACAAAUCAUAAACUCUCUUAAUGAGGAACAACUCUGUGGACUUAAGUCUUUUUCUAUAACAUAAAUUCAAAAGCUGUAUCUCUUCCCUCCUUUGACUCAUUAAGGCUGUGUCUAAAGAUAUCUGGACUGAAAGUGACAAAAUGAACCUAGAUUUUUUUUUCCAGAUACUGAGAAACCAUAUUUUUUACUUUUCACCUUAAUGUUCUUUAACCUGAAAAAUAUCACUUACAGAGAAAAAAUUGUAUCUGUUCUCAUCCUAUUCAAACUAAGCUGCUUUCUGUAACAUUCUUAAAUCAAAGUUAUGAAAACUUUUUAUAGCUUGUAUCAAACAACUGCCUUACAGUAUCAUGACACUAAUAUCUGAACUUCACUUAUAUAAAACUGAUUUCUAUUAAAUUUUAACAUUUUACUUAACUGUUAACAGAUUUACAUUCCUAGAUUAUCUAAUAGCUAAUAACAGAAAUAUCUGAUUUUUAAGUAUUUUGAUAUAUAUCUCAAUGUUCAAACAUUCUUAAACACACAUCUAAGAAUUUGCUGGAAAAAAAAUCCUUUAACACUAUUUAAAGAUAAAAGCAAUUCUAUGACCAAAGUGAUAAAUACACUUGACUCUUAAGACUAAAUUACACUUUUCUUAUGAAAACAAACCUUUGUGAUUUCCUAUAUCUUAAGUAUAUAAAAUAAAUGCUAGUAAAAAAAUGUAAAGAAAAAAUUAUAGUAUAUUUUAGUCAAAUUCACUUUAUUUAGCAAAUAGUUUUAAAAAACACAUUUAGUUAAUACUUUAUCAUGUAAUUAAUACUUUACUAUUCAAAAAUUAAUCAAGUAAUACUUAGUAAUACUGUUAAAUGAGUUUUCAUUACACCAGAUUACAAUUUAGAAAGCAGCUGAAAUUUUUAUUAGCUAAGUAUCUGAAAUUUUCAACUAAAAUUAUAAAAUAAACUUUAUUUUAAAGUAAAUAUGCUGGAAAAGUGAUUCUGUGAUGAAGUAUUCUGGAGGUAAAGACAAGUCAUUAGAAGUUUUGGAAUUCUACAGUUUAUUUUUAAAGAGUUUACAACUUUUGAUAUGAACAAUUUAAAUAUUUUACUCAGAGUACCUAUGAGUAAGAUACUGGUUUCUGCUUUAGAAAGUGCGUUUUUCAGUUUCAACCAAAUUGCUGUUUUGGUUAGGAUAGUACUUGGAAUAUUUCAAGUUCUCUUAAAAUAUUCUCACUAAUCUUAUCAAAUUUCGUAGGCUCUAUCUACCACUAUAUCUAUCAAAGAAUGAAGCACCAAAUUUCACUUGAUUUAAACCAUCUAUUUUAUAACAUGAAAAAUCUACUACUUAAUUAUUUAACAUAUAACACUGUAGUAACAAACUUAAGAAAAAACUCAUAACAUAUAUUUAUUCUUAGAAUAAAUAAACUCAUUUGGAGCUGGACCCAUACAGGAUAAGAACAUCAACUGCAUAAAAAAAUCUGAAGCUUUAAUAAAGCAAGAAAAGCUCAACCUUGGCCACUUCACUGAAUAACUUCUGUUAAUCAAUAAAUCUUUAUUGAAUUUAGCUCACCUAAAAGUUCUAACUUUACCAAAUGUCUAGUUCAAUUAUAUUGCAAAGAUAUAAAAUCGUAUGCUUUAAAAAUUCAUUAGUAUACCUUAAUCUCCUAUCAUGUUCCAUUGCAUUAUGUGAAUGUUCAAUCAAAGAAGUUAGGUUGUUCUCCAGAAUUGGCUCUCUCCUAAAGGUCAAAACCUGCAAUAAAAAUGUCAUGUAUUAUAGCAUGAAGACACUCAACAGACUUCCGCCUCCUGCAGUUUCACAGUUGAUCCCUGAACGCAGAGGUAAGAUCUUCAAAAUGACCCCAAUCUUGCCUAUGUUCAAAGAAACCCUAACUUUUUAAAAUAGAAAUAUUUUGAUUAGAAACACCUGUGAAAUGCUUUAUCAUCCGAAGCCUCUUCAAACAAAUCAGAUUAAUAUAUUUCUGCUUUCAUUUCUCUUUAGGGCAUUCAUUUUGAAAGCAGUGUAGAUAAGUGUGUAUGUUUAUGUAGGCAGUUGUUAGAGGACUGCUAAAGGGGACUUCAUAAGGAAAAUAUCAGAAAUAUAGUUUGUCUUUGUUUCUAAUACUCAUAAAAUCCAUGGUUUAAAAAGUUAUUCAACGGAUAGAGACAAAUUUUUAUCUACCUUUCUCCCCAAAUUAUCAUAUGUUUUAAUGGUGACAGAAAUUAUCAUUACUUUCAACUUGGGUCUUUUGCCAGGCCUGAGUGAAUAAUACUGAUGUUUCCAAAUGUUUUAAGACAUUACAGUCUAAUAGAACAAAACUUAGAAUUUACUUUUAAAACAAAUUAAAAUACUUAUAAGUCAUAAAUGGAGGACUAUUGGGAAGAUGGCUUUUUUUUUAAUGUGUCCAAGUAGAGGUGGUGUAACUAAAUGUAUGGAAGUGGUGUUUUCAUUUAUUUCACCUGAAUCUUAAUAAUUUACGGACAACCGACUAUAUAAAAUAUUAAACUGUUAAAUGACCAAAGGUUUAUAAUGGGCUAUAUGUGAACCAUAAUUCUUUGGAGUUUUCCACUUUUAUUUAAAAACAGCUUAGAAGAAAUCAUAACCCCAAAACCCUUUUCUCUGCAGCCAAAUGACUGUUUAAUGGCAAAAGACACACAUAUAUAACUCACAAAACACCAACCCUGAAAACAUGACUUUUUAAAAAAUUAGAAUAAUUUCUACAUAGUCUUUCUUAAAAGAAUAGACAUUUUUCUAUAUGUGAGCACUCUGAAAAGUGAGGUAUCUUAAUUAAAAAAAAAUCAUAGGAUAACAGAAGAAACCAAUGUGUAUUCCAUGCCAAAUAUUAAGUUUUUAAAUAGCAGGAAAACAAAAAAUACUAAAUAAUAAAGAACAAAAGAGGUUCAGGUAUAAGACAAAUAUUAAACCAACUGAGUAUGAUAAAAAAAGACAAAAACCACCCCUCUGAAAUACCAAAAUUCAAAUCUCAAAUCUAUUACAAAAUAUAGGUUUUUAUACUUUGCACCCACAACAAGUCUUCCCACUGCAAAGAUUCUUUAGUGAAACAGGACAGGAUUAAACAAAAGUGCAUUAUAUUUCUCAUAAUUUGAUAUGAAAUAUUAAGAAUAAAAUUCAUAUAUAUACUUAAUAUCAAUAUUUUAAAUGGCUUUCUAAAAGAAAAGAUCCUUUGAAACAUCUUUGACACAGGCAAAGAAAAAAAAAGGCAAAAGAAAAUCAUUUCCCAACCAUAAAGCAGUAUUUAUAGGAAGGCUCUACAGCCAUUUAUUUGUUCAUGCUUAAAAUCAGAAAAAAAUAUAAACACGUAUCAGUAAAAUGACAUUC